UCACCUACGGGGGGCAGCAGUGGGGGAUAUUGCACAAUGGGGGAAACCCUGAUGCAGCGACGCCGCGUGGGCGAAGAAGUAUUUCGGUAUGUAAAGCCCUAUCAGCAGGGAAGAAGAAAUGACGGUACCUGACUAAGAAGCCCCGGCUAACUACGUGCCAGCAGCCGCGGUAAUACGUAGGGGGCGAGCGUUAUCCGGAUUCACUGGGUGUAAAGGGAGCGUAGACGGCCAUGCAAGCCAGGGGUGAAAGCCCGGGGCCCAACCCCGGGACUGCCCUUGGAACUGCAUGGCUGGAGUGCGGGAGG
This 305-nucleotide ribosomal RNA is filed under the name uncultured bacterium. RNAcentral's name for it is "bacterial SSU rRNA". It matches the Rfam family "Bacterial small subunit ribosomal RNA", at positions 335 to 655 of the family's 1533-position model. The record is from RNAcentral.